GACGAACGCUGGCGGCGUGCUUAACACAUGCAAGUCGAGCGAGGCCCUCCUUCGGGGGGUGCCCUAGCGGCGAACGGGUGAGUAACACGUGGGCAACCUGCCCUCAGCUCUGGGAUAACUCCAAGAAAUUGGUGCUAAUACCGGAUGUGACCGCUGACCGCAUGGUCUGGUGGUGGAAAGAUUCAUCGGCUGGGGAUGGGCCCGCGGCCUAUCAGCUUGUUGGUGGGGCACGGCCCACCAAGGCGACGACGGGUAGCCGGCCUGAGAGGGUGACCGGCCACACUGGGACUGAGACACGGCCCAGACUCCUACGGGAGGCAGCAGUGGGGAAUAUUGCGCAAUGGGCGAAAGCCUGACGCAGCGACGCCGCGUGAGGGAUGACGGCCU
This 387-nucleotide ribosomal RNA is filed under the name uncultured bacterium. RNAcentral's name for it is "bacterial SSU rRNA". It matches the Rfam family "Bacterial small subunit ribosomal RNA", at positions 28 to 417 of the family's 1533-position model. The record is from RNAcentral.